RNAcentral lists this ribosomal RNA (1122 nucleotides) under Salmonella enterica subsp. enterica serovar Livingstone. RNAcentral describes it as "partial 23S ribosomal RNA". It matches the Rfam family "Bacterial large subunit ribosomal RNA", at positions 1 to 1053 of the family's 2925-position model. Lineage: Bacteria; Pseudomonadati; Pseudomonadota; Gammaproteobacteria; Enterobacterales; Enterobacteriaceae. The record is from RNAcentral.
GGGUUGUGAGGUUAAGCGACUAAGCGUACACGGUGGAUGCCCUGGCAGUCAGAGGCGAUGAAGGACGUGCUAAUCUGCGAUAAGCGCCGGUAAGGUGAUAUGAACCGUUAUAACCGGCGAUUUCCGAAUGGGGAAACCCAGUGUGAUUCGUCACACUAUCAUUAACUGAAUCCAUAGGUUAAUGAGGCGAACCGGGGGAACUGAAACAUCUAAGUACCCCGAGGAAAAGAAAUCAACCGAGAUUCCCCCAGUAGCGGCGAGCGAACGGGGAGGAGCCCAGAGCCUGAAUCAGCAUGUGUGUUAGUGGAAGCGUCUGGAAAGACGCGCGAUACAGGGUGACAGCCCCGUACACAAAAGCGCAUGUGCUGUGAGCUCGAUGAGUAGGGCGGGACACGUGGUAUCCUGUCUGAAUAUGGGGGGACCAUCCUCCAAGGCUAAAUACUCCUGACUGACCGAUAGUGAACCAGUACCGUGAGGGAAAGGCGAAAAGAACCCCGGCGAGGGGAGUGAAAAAGAACCUGAAACCGUGUACGUACAAGCAGUGGGAGCCCCACCACUAAGCCAGUGGUGAACUCCACAUACGCAUCCUUUGCUGAGGAUACGGUUAACGGAGCGAAAGCGACGUUCAACCUCAAAAGAAGCAGAGGGGGCUUAGUGGUGGGGUGACUGCGUACCUUUUGUAUAAUGGGUCAGCGACUUAUAUUCUGUAGCAAGGUUAACCGAAUAGGGGAGCCGGAGGGAAACCGAGUCUUAACCGGGCGUUAAGUUGCAGGGUAUAGACCCGAAACCCGGUGAUCUAGCCAUGGGCAGGUUGAAGGUUGGGUAACACUAACUGGAGGACCGAACCGACUAAUGUUGAAAAAUUAGCGGAUGACCUGUGGCUGGGGGUGAAAGGCCAAUCAAACCGGGAGAUAGCUGGUUCUCCCCGAAAGCUAUUUAGGUAGCGCCUCGUGAACUCAUCUCCGGGGGUAGAGCACUGUUUCGGCUAGGGGGCCAUCCCGGCUUACCAACCCGAUGCAAACUGCGAAUACCGGAGAAUGUUAUCACGGGAGACACACGGCGGGUGCUAACGUCCGUCGUGAAGAGGGAAACAACCCAGACCGCCAGCUAAGGUCCCAAAGU